Molecule: long non-coding RNA, 1529 nt
Organism: Hippoglossus stenolepis (Pacific halibut)
Lineage: Eukaryota; Metazoa; Chordata; Actinopteri; Pleuronectiformes; Pleuronectidae
Exons: 3
Source: RefSeq, a predicted model, not a curated record
GCGGCUGCUUCAGCCACAGUGGGAGAGGCUCAGACAGCAUUUUCUUCCCAAGAUACAGGCUGUUUUUGAAUGUGUGUGUGUGUGUGUGUGUGUGUGUGUGUGUGUGUGUGUGUGUGUGUGUGUGUGUGUGUGUGUGUGUGUGUGUGUCUCGCCAGCCUUCCCAUCACCAAACAGUCACUAAAAAGGCUGUUGUUAUUUUUUCUUGUGUUUUCAACCAUGCUCUGCUGGACAAAAGGCCAUGGGAUGUGGAAGCCAAACGAGGACAGGUGGACUUGUGAUGGCUGGACUUGUGACACCAAAGGGAGAACUGAGAGCGUCUGGAGAAAUGCAAAGUCCUCUCUGCAGACACGAGACACCACGACGGGCCUGACUGCACUGCUCUGGAAUGUGGGUUUCUGUUUUUCUGUGCACUCUCCUGCACACGGCAAAACCCCUCUACCUGCUCUUCGUCAAACCCUGACACAGAUCUACCCGAACAUAAUGCACGGACACAUACAGUAUGAACACUUCACCGCACAGCACUGCACGGCGAGGGAAAGGCGGAGGAUGAGUGAGGAUGGAGAGCCACUGGUCGACCAUUGGAUGGUUGGCGCUCAGGGAGGAUCUCGUCAUCUCUCUCUGGAACUGAGUGGACCAGCCGCUCGCAUCCCGUGGAAGACUCCGAUAGGCAUGAGCUUCUCUGCCCUGCGGAGGAACAGAAGGUGUUGGAGAGAUUAACAUCACUGUUUGAGUAUGACACAGAAACUAUUGUCAGGAGAAGAUUGACUCACACUUACAUUGAUCAUACCACUGCUGCAACAAAGAAAUGACUAAGUGCAUAAUCGCCUUUUGGAAAAAAUCCUUUAUCAGCAAUUUCAAAGACUGAUCCAUCCUCUGUAUUUUUGGCCUGACAGUUUUUUGGAUUAGCGCUGUCUAUCCCAGCUAUGUGACAGAUGCUUUGUGGUGGAUGUUGGUUAGUUUGUCUUGGAGCGGUGCCACACACCGAUACUGCGUUGUUAAUACAAGGCUCACUCCAUUCCACCCUCACCCCUAACCCCUCCCCACAGCUAAACCUGAGCCUCUAAUAAGAGGCCUUUUAUAAUGAGACAGACACAGCUGAGCUCUUACAUUACACAAAAAGCACCUUCUAAAAGGCUCCAGCCAAGGUAGUGUCAAACACCAGCUGACUUAUUAUAAUGGCCAUAAGCACAAAAACACACACAAGUACACUCGAUUACACUCCAGGCCUGAUGGCCUUGGCUUUGAAAUCACGGUGAUUAAAGGUCAAGGUGGCUAAAGAUGUGUGAAUAUAAAUAAAAGCAAAUGAAUACUUAAAAUCACAGCAGAGACAUUCACUAAGACAAACAAAGAAUAAGAAUCAUUUAAUGUUUGAUGAGUUAUGAAAAAGAAGCUAAAGAGUGAGACAGACAGGAGUUUAGAUUUCUUGAAUGUUAUAUCGGUUAUAUCUACACGUUACUCAAAGGGGUUUCAUAGUUUUACAAAGAGGUUGGUUCAAGAUUGUGAAUCCAGAUAGAGGUGAAACUUAGGCG